RNAcentral lists this transfer RNA (94 nucleotides) under Pigmentiphaga litoralis. RNAcentral's name for it is "tRNA-OTHER". The record is from RNAcentral. Lineage: Bacteria; Pseudomonadati; Pseudomonadota; Betaproteobacteria; Burkholderiales; Alcaligenaceae.
GCGGCAGUUCAGCGGCGCCGGCAGCGCGAGCUGUAGCAGGUAAGAAAAUCCGCCGCCGCAAGGCGUACCGGUUCGACUCCGGUCAGGCGCACCA